UCCUGUCGGAGGACUGGCGGGCAGAGUUAUUCACGGAUCACGGCGGACAUAUGGGCUGACUGGGACUCGCUGAAGACUUGCCCUCACUGCUGGGACUCGAUACGAAUGCCAUGCAGUUCUGGAUCAGACUUCAGUGAAAGUAUCAUCAUUCUAUCAAACAGGGUUGCAGCCGAUGUCGUAGGCGCCUACUCAUGCAACCGGCAAAAGCGGCUGACAAAACCCUGAAAAUGUGGGUUGCAUCUGAGUAUCCUAAGUGGCCGACAGUCU
Long non-coding RNA from Austrofundulus limnaeus, 267 nucleotides. RefSeq lists it as uncharacterized. Lineage: Eukaryota; Metazoa; Chordata; Actinopteri; Cyprinodontiformes; Rivulidae. The record is from RefSeq and is a predicted model, not a curated record. The transcript has 3 exons.